This 498-nucleotide ribosomal RNA is filed under the name uncultured bacterium. Its description in RNAcentral is "bacterial SSU rRNA". It matches the Rfam family "Bacterial small subunit ribosomal RNA", at positions 18 to 518 of the family's 1533-position model. The record is from RNAcentral.
CUGGCGUCAGGAUGAACGCUGGCGGCGUAGCCUAACACAUGCAAGUCGAACGGAGUUAUGCUAUGAAGUUUCGGAUGGAUUAAGUAUGACUUAGUGGCGGACGGGUGAGUAACGCGUGGGUAACCUGCCUCAUACAGGGGGAUAACAGCUGGAAACGGCUGCUAAAACCGCAUAAGCAUACAGCACCGCAUGGUGCAGUGUGAAAAUAUUAAUAGGUAUGAGAUGGGCCCGCGUCUGAUUAGCUAGUUGGUAGGUAACGGCUUACCAAGGCGACGAUCAGUAGCCGGCUUGAGAGAGUGACCGGCCACAUUGGGACUGAGACACGGCCCAAACUCCUACGGGAGGCAGCAGUGGGGAAUAUUGCGCAAUGGGGGAAACCCUGAUGCCAGCGACGCCGCGUGAGUGAAGAAGUAUUUCGGUAUGUAAAGCUCUAUCAGCAGGGAAGAAAAUGACGGUACCUGACUAAGAAGCCCCGGCUAACUACGUGCCAGCAGCCGC